AUUGAACGCUGGCGGCAUGCUUUACACAUGCAAGUCGAACGGUAACAGGUUAAGCUGACGAGUGGCGAACGGGUGAGUAAUGCAUCGGAACGUGCCCGAUCGUGGGGGAUAACGCAGCGAAAGCUGCGCUAAUACCGCAUACGAUCUGAGGAUGAAAGCGGGGGACCGUAAGGCCUCGCGCGAUCGGAGCGGCCGAUGUCAGAUUAGGUAGUUGGUGGGGUAAAGGCUCACCAAGCCGACGAUCUGUAGCUGGUCUGAGAGGACGACCAGCCACACUGGGACUGAGACACGGCCCAGACUCCUACGGGAGGCAGCAGUGGGGAAUUUUGGACAAUGGGCGCAAGCCUGAUCCAGCAAUGCCGCGUGCAGGAAGAAGGCCUUCGGGUUGUAAACUGCUUUUGUACGGAGCGAAAAGGCUCUCUCUAAUACAGGGGGUUCAUGACGGUACCGUAAGAAUAAGCACCGGCUAACUACGUGCCAGCCGCCGCAGUAA
Molecule: ribosomal RNA, 493 nt
Filed under: uncultured bacterium
Lineage: Bacteria
Description: partial 16S ribosomal RNA
Rfam family: Bacterial small subunit ribosomal RNA
Source: RNAcentral